RNAcentral lists this long non-coding RNA (262 nucleotides) under Taeniopygia guttata (zebra finch). Its description in RNAcentral is "lncRNA (ENSTGUG00000021596.1)". Lineage: Eukaryota; Metazoa; Chordata; Aves; Passeriformes; Estrildidae. The record is from RNAcentral.
UGUGAUUCGCUGUCCAGCAUUACCUUUAUGCAGAAGAUGAAGCAGCAGAGGAAUUGGGAAAAGUACAUCUUCACAUUCAGCUGGAAAUGUGGAAAGGCAGAAAACAAGUCAGCAAGCUACCUCAUUAUGGAACCCUUGCCAAUUAGGUCUCCCAAGAACUAGUUACACAGGAAUAGAUCUGCUGUGAAGGUAUCGGAUUAACUGCAUGUAUUCUUUAUAUUGCUGGUGAGUAUUGAUUGUGUUCUCUGGGUAGUUCAUAAAU